Molecule: non-coding RNA, 211 nt
Organism: Pelobates cultripes (western spadefoot toad)
Lineage: Eukaryota; Metazoa; Chordata; Amphibia; Anura; Pelobatidae
Source: the annotation of a GenBank genome assembly
CUAAACACCAACACAAUGGGUUUGAAAUGAAACAAACAAGAUGUGCUUUAACUGCAGACUUUCAGCUUUAAUUUGAGGGUAUUUACAUCCAAAUCAGGUGAACGGUGUAGGAAAUACAACAGUUUGUAUAUGUGCCUCCCACUUUUUAAGGGACCAAAAGCAAUGGGACAAUUGGCUUCUCAGCUGUUCCAUGGCCAGGUGUGUGUUAUUC